Molecule: ribosomal RNA, 397 nt
Filed under: uncultured bacterium
Lineage: Bacteria
Description: partial 16S ribosomal RNA
Rfam family: Bacterial small subunit ribosomal RNA
Source: RNAcentral
AUACGUAGGGGGCGAGCGUUGUCCGGAAUGAAUGGGCGUAAAGGGCGCGUAGGCGGCCCGGUAAGUCUGGAGUGAAAGUCCUGCUUUUAAGGUGGGAAUUGCUUUGGAUACUGUCGGGCUUGAGUGCAGGAGAGGUAAGUGGAAUUCCCAGUGUAGCGGUGAAAUGCGUAGAGAUUGGGAGGAACACCAGUGGCGAAGGCGACUAACUGGACUGUAACUGACGCUGAGGCGCGAAAGUGUGGGGAGCAAACAGGAUUAGAUACCCUGGUAGUCCACACUGUAAACGAUGAAUGCUAGGUGUAGGGGGUAUCGACCCCUUCUGUGCCGCAGUUAACACAAUAAGCAUUCCGCCUGGGGAGUACGGCCGCAAGGUUGAAACUCAAAUGAAUUGACGGGG